Molecule: long non-coding RNA, 1053 nt
Organism: Raphanus sativus (radish)
Lineage: Eukaryota; Viridiplantae; Streptophyta; Magnoliopsida; Brassicales; Brassicaceae
Exons: 4
Source: RefSeq, a predicted model, not a curated record
CAUCACUGGUGAACAUGGAAGCCAUUGGAGUUUUUGGACCAAAACGUGGAUUGAAAACUCUUCUUUGUUCUCAAACCCAUUUAUUUCCAGCAUGCAACUCUACCGUUUUCCUGUAACCUCAUAUCCUCGUAAGCAUGCACAUUUUGUUUCUUUGAAAGCGAUGGCUAAUAAUCUGGCUUGUGAAGGAAAUAAUCGUAAUUUCAAAAGCCUGUCCCUUCUACAUGGAUCAUCAAUCCCUCUUUGCUAACGUAGAUUUCUCACAAAUGGAUGGGCUUGGGAGAGAGAUAGAGGCACUAAAGCCACUAGUGAGGAACAUGUUCAUAUCUUCCAAAGGCAUUAAGAAGAAAAUUAUUUUUACCUAUUUGCUUGUGACACUUGGUCUCGCAUAUCAUUUUGAGGAUGAGAUCAUGGAGACUCUAGAAGAUGGUUUCCAAAAGAUAGACGAGAUGAUGGCGGGAGAAUAUGAUUUGUACACUGUUUCAGUCAUUUUCUAUGUUUUUCAGAACAUAUGGUUACAACAUUUCUUCUGGUGUUUUUGGGAGAUUCUUGGGGGACCAUGGAAAAUUUAAGGAAUGUCUUACAAGAGAUGCUAAGGGUAUGCUAAGCUUGCAUGAAGCUGCUCAUAUGGGGACGACUACAGAUUAUAUAUUGGAUGAAGCCUUAACCUCACAUUAAGUAAUUGGAGUCGUUAGUGUACAUGUGAACCUAAUCUCCUCAAGGCUUAUGCGAAACUCUUUGGGUCUACCACAGCAUAAAAACAUGGAGAUAUUAGUGGCAAAGGAAUUUAUCCGGUUCUACGAAAAGGAAGAAGAUAGCGACCUGGCGCUAAUUAAGUUUUCCAAGCUUUAACUUUAAAUUCCUCCAGCUACUUUACCUUCAAGAACUCAAAAUCCUUUCAAAAUGGUACAAGGAACAAGACUUUGAUCUAAGUUGCCCUUACACAGAGACAUACUCGUGGAAUUGAACCUCCCUACGCUAGGAUACAUGGAGCCGAAACAUUCAGAGUGAGAAUUCUUCUGACUAAAAUGUACACGAUGCAAGUAAUAGUAGAUG